CUCGUAGGCGGUUCAGUAAGUCGGGUGUGAAAACUCUGGGCUCAACCCAGAGACGCCACCCGAUACUGCUGUGACUUGAGUACGGUAGGGGAGUGGGGAAUUCCUGGUGUAGCGGUGAAAUGCGCAGAUAUCAGGAGGAACACCAGUGGCGAAGGCGCCGCUCUGGGCCGUAACUGACGCUGAGGAGCGAAAGCGUGGGUAGCAAACA
This 208-nucleotide ribosomal RNA is filed under the name uncultured bacterium. RNAcentral's name for it is "partial 16S ribosomal RNA". It matches the Rfam family "Bacterial small subunit ribosomal RNA", at positions 568 to 774 of the family's 1533-position model. The record is from RNAcentral.